This 248-nucleotide ribosomal RNA is filed under the name uncultured Parabacteroides sp. RNAcentral describes it as "partial 16S ribosomal RNA". It matches the Rfam family "Bacterial small subunit ribosomal RNA", at positions 524 to 771 of the family's 1533-position model. The record is from RNAcentral. Lineage: Bacteria; Pseudomonadati; Bacteroidota; Bacteroidia; Bacteroidales; Tannerellaceae.
UCCGUAUUAUUCUAUCUUUAUCCGGAUUUAUUGGGUUUAAAGGGUGCGUAGGUGGUUAAUUAAGUCAGCGGUGAAAGUUUGUGGCUCAACCAUAAAAUUGCCGUUGAAACUGGUUGACUUGAGUAUAUUUGAGGUAGGCGGAAUGCGUGGUGUAGCGGUGAAAUGCAUAGAUAUCACGCAGAACUCCGAUUGCGAAGGCAGCUUACUAAACUAUAACUGACACUGAAGCACGAAAGCGUGGGGAUCAA